AACGAACGCUGGCGGCAGGCUUAACACAUGCAAGUCGAACGAGAUCUUCGGAUCUAGUGGCAGACGGGUGAGGAACACGUGGGAACAUCCCUUUCAGUUCGGAAUAACGUUGGGAAACUAACGCUAAUACCGGAUACGUCCUUCGGGAGAAAGAUUUAUCGCUGAAAGAUUGGCCCGCGUCUGAUUAGCUAGUUGGUGAGGUAAUGGCUCACCAAGGCUACGAUCAGUAGCUGAUCUGAGAGGAUGAUCAGCCACAUUGGGACUGAGACACGGCCGAAUCUCCUAGGGGAGUCAGCAGUAGGGAAUCUUCCGCAAUGGACGCGAGUCUGACGGAGCAACGCCGCGUGAGUGAUGAAGGCCCUAGGGUUGUAAAGCUCUUUCGGCGGGGACGAUAAUGACGGUACCCGCAGAAGAAGCCCCGGCUAACUUCGUGCCAGCAGCCGCGGUAA
This 449-nucleotide ribosomal RNA is filed under the name uncultured bacterium. RNAcentral describes it as "partial 16S ribosomal RNA". It matches the Rfam family "Bacterial small subunit ribosomal RNA", at positions 29 to 523 of the family's 1533-position model. The record is from RNAcentral.